Molecule: small nuclear RNA, 107 nt
Organism: Nannospalax galili (Upper Galilee mountains blind mole rat)
Lineage: Eukaryota; Metazoa; Chordata; Mammalia; Rodentia; Spalacidae
Source: Ensembl
GUGCUCACCUUGGCAGCACAUAUACUAUAACUUGAACGACAGAGAAAAGAUUAGCACAGCCCCUGCACAAAAAUGGCAUGCAAAUCCCUGAAGCAUUCCAUAUCUUU